AGAGGGGGGUGGAGGGGGUUGAGGGAAAAGGCCUAACCUGCUAUACUUAAUAACAUUCUUAUCCUUUUAUAACAUUUAACUGUUUUUGGGGUUUUUUUUUAAUUUUUUUUAUUUAGCCUUGCCCAGUUUUACUUGACUUCUAAGCACUCCAUAAUUGGACAGUUGUCAUUACAAGCGGUGAUUAUAAUCGAGUCUGUGCAUUGUGGGAUUCUUUUUAAAUUUCGCUGUCUUCCUGGAAAAGGAUUAAUGUUUGCGAUUUGCUGCUCCAACUGAGUGCAUAGAAGUUCAUGAGACCUUGUGGGAUUCAUCCCAGGUUACUCAGGGGGCUUGUUAAUGUCACUACAAGACAUUAUCUCCAUUAUUUUUCAGUGUCUGGAAGCUGUCAAUAGGUGAUCCUAUUUUCAAGAAGUGCAAGAAGGAAGACUGGUGGCUGGUCACUAUCGGAGGUCCCUAAAGCUAGCUCUCUUUAAUGUUUAAGUAAAUUACUUGGAAGUAGCACUAGAAGGUGUUUUGAGCCGGUUUGCUGAUUAUAUUAAAUUCAGAGGAGCUGUUGAAUCCAUCGAGGGUGGAGAUGUAGAGAGAUCUAGACAAAUCAGAAAGCUGGGCAAUCAUCAACCACACAAAGCUUAACAAGUGCCAGAUUCUGCACUUGGGAAAGGGCAGCCUUGGUUAUGCAUACUGACUGGGGGGAUGAGACACUGGAGAGCAGCCCUGCUGAAAGAGGUUUGGGGGUCUUGGUCAACAACAAGUUGAACAUGAGUCAACAGUGUGCCCAGGCAGCCAGGAGGAUCAACAGUAUCCUGGGGCAUACUGAGCAUGGUGUUGCUACCUGGUGGAGGAAAGUGAUUGUUCCACUCUAUUCCUUUCAGAAGACUCGGCCAAAAUAAUUAAGCUGAAUGCCUACUGGAAUUCUAGUUUAGAGAUUUUGAAAAAUACUAAUAAAUAUCUAAAACUGUUAUUCCUUUCUCAUACUUAGGUGGUAUUAUUUUUACUCCAUCAGUUUUUCUUUGGAAAGAUUUAUCCUGCCUUCUGAAUCAAACAGCUUGUUUUAUUUGGAGAGGGGAUCUGUGCUCUGGGUGUGCUGCUCGUACCUAAAAUUGUUAGGGUUUUUCUAAGACUGCUUCAAAGAGGAAAAUACCAAAAAUAAGCAGCCAUUCUACCAGUCGUAUACGAAACCUUGACUCACUGCAGCCCGAGGUGUAAUUUGGAAUGCAGCUUUUUGGAAGGACAAGUUUUUCCCGUUGCUGGAGAAGGCAGUGAGUCUAUGUCUUUUAUUUUAAACAAAACAUAAUUUGCAACAUGAGGAAUUGGUUGCUUUCAGGAGAGUGUGCUUUCAGGAGAGAUUUUAUGUGCUGUUGUUUUCCCCAGCUGAGCAACUUUUGGUAUGCCUGGAGGAAGGUGAAUUUUGAAGAGCUGCUGAUCACUUUAAAUUGGGUAUUCCUUUCCACAAAUGUAUUUCAAGGAAUUUGAGAUGAAGGAAAUCAUCUAAUCCAUCUGUGACUUUACAUCUUACAUUGAAGAAGUAAAAACGACAUGAUUUUGUUUGUUUACAUGAAAGCUACCCUGGUAGUAAUGUCUCUUGUUCUAUGAUGUUUGUAGAAGAUGAACCUUCCCACCAGUGUUCUGUGUUGCUGCCAUGUGACAGAUGACAGCAGAGGGGCACCGUGUCUGACAUGAUGGAAGAGUGUAUGGAGCAAAGGUAUGUCAUUGAAUUCCUCCAUGCAGUAAACGUUGCACCUGAUGUUCACUGAAGCUUGCUGGAUGUUUCUGGAGACAAAGCAGUGAAUGUGAGCACAGUGCUGUGGUGCAUUUCAGCAGUGUUGACAGUGAUGACAGUUUCAUCACACCAUGAAAAGAAACACAUCUCAAUCAGCUCAUCCAUAGAUUAUCACCAGUGUAUAUGUAUUUUUCUAAUGGAAAGGUUACUUUCUGAAUGUGACAAAAGUUCUAUUUAACCUAAGUAAGCUCAUAUUCAUGGCAGGUUUGCAGUGUUUGUCUGUUAUUAACCCAGAUGAAAAUAUUACUGCUCCCGUGAACUUUUGUUUUUCAUAAUAUGGAAACAUUCAGCUUGAUUUAAAUACAUAAUAAUUUUAAAAAGUUAUCAAACUAAUAAUUCCAAGAAAAUAUCAGUUAAUGAGUGCAGUAGGCGAAUGGCAAUGGGUUUGACUCUAAAACCAUUUUCAGUAUUUUCUGCUUAGAUGAAAGUGUUGAUGGAAGUGAAUGGGACUUUUCUGUCAUCUGGUUGAAUCCUAAUGAAUCUCUGGAUUCUUUUCCAUUGUUGGAAGCUCCUUCUCUUUAACUGCUUUGAAAAACAAAUAUUUCAUCUUGAGGAUGCGGUGUGUUGCAUGCUUUGCAGGCACACUUUGGUGUAGCUGCCUGCUUAACCCCAUAGUCAUUUUAUUUCUCACUUCUCCUCCUCCAAGUAAAUCUUGGUAUCACUUACAGAAAGGCAAAGGAAUACAGAGUCUUAACUUCUAGACUAGCAUAAAGGGGGCUAUGGCAAAUAAUGCACAGUCAGUUAUGAGAUACAAAGUAGUUUGUCAUGGUCUUAAUAACAUCCAGUCACAGGUUUCCUUUUCAUUUAUUCAGGAAGGUAAUUUGCUUCUUACAGACAUUACAUUUGAAGUUUUGUGUUGAUGUAUGUGCUUUCAAAACGUUUUUCUAAGCUUCUUUGGUCUAAGGACAAAAUUCAUCAAUACUGCUUCAGCUCCCUUUCAUUACAUACAUAAAUUGCAGUCUGAGUGUUUUGAUUUAACAAAAACAGGCAAAGUGUUGUUAGUUAUGUUGUCAGAUGCUUGAUUUUCACAAAAUGCUAGGAAUGCGUCUUGUCUAAUGGGUGCGUUCUGUUACUCUGGUCUGCUUUAUUGUGAAUUUUUAGUUCACAGGAAACUGAUGUAGUCAAAAUCAUUAGGAAGAGUGGCUGUUAGUUGUUGCUCUCCAGCACUUGUGAAAAUAUCAGAUAAAUAGAUGAGAAGUUGCAAAAUCGUCCUGCUUUCUUGACUGAGGAAAGAGAUUUAUCAGCCAGGGAAUUAAGAUUAUUUUUAGACAGCAUACAGAAGAUCUAAGAUAAUUUUCUGGAAUCAGAAAUCAAAGCAUUUGAAAUCCUGUGUAGAUAACAAGUUCUGGAGCAAGACCUUGUUUGCUUGUGCUGCUUUGGAGUAAGCUGUAACUUAAGCUUCAAUGUUAAGAAUUAAUUAAAGUUUGUGUGGUGCUACGUUUUGUACCUCACUAAGAUUCAAAAGGGAACAAAUGAUACAGCAUGAGGGAGCUCAGUAAUUUUUGAAGCUUAGAAUGUUAGUAUCAGUUCAGUUUCCUUUUCCUGUUUGUACAGGUGUUUGAGAAUAGCUCAGUAGUUUGAAGGGGUGGGAGAGGAGGCAGAUGUCAUAAGGAUGUUUUUGUAAAGAUCAGCAUCAUCCUUCAUAUCAUAGGACUGGGAAGAUGUCAGGGUUGGAGGAUUUCUGUUUUGAGUGUAUGAAGUAAUUGGACUUUUAAUCAUUAUUAACUUCAGAAGAAAGACGUUGCAGCCUGCAACUGCUGUUUUCCCUGCGAAGUCUUGUCUGUAUCUUGUGGUGCUGUCCUGAAAACAUUGAGUGCUGUCAGCAGAAGAUCAAGUAUAAAGACACAGUGGAGCAGUAUGUUGAUACUCCAUGUCCUUGUCAGCAUUCUGUAAGUCAAAGCCCUGUCUAGCUCUGGGUAUUCUUCUCUUGAGGCUGUAACCAGCUGAGAAGAAAGAAAUGAGUGCUCAUGACUGUUGAUACCAGAACCUCCAAACUGUGCUCACAUCCACUGUUUUGUCUUCAGAAACAUUCAACAAGCAUCAGUGUAUGUCAGUGGUUUUUUUCUGCAUGGAGGAUUCACACCUUUGUUCAUAUGUACUUCCAUGUCAAAUACCAUUUUGUCAGACUGCCCCUCUGCUGCCAUCUGUCAUAUGACAGCAAAAUGUAAUGGAGUGUUGGUGGGAAGGUUCAGCUUCUACUGCCGUACCACCAACAUCCACUUCUGUGUCUGGAGCCACUGGUAUAAAAUAGGAGGCAUUACCUUUGGAGCAGCCCUCGUAUUUUUACCUUGUCUCUAACAGUUCUGUUGGGAAGGUCUCAGUGCUUAUGUUCAGUGAUUCUGUUCAGAUCAAAGUUUGCUUUCUGUCCAGAAGUAUUUCUAACUGGACUUCACCUGCAGGCUGGAAGAAGUAGUACAAUUACGUACAGUCCUGUGCCAAAAUCAGCUGUUGGUAGCAGUUCAUCCAUUGGCUGCACUACCCUAUCUGUGUAUGAUGAAUGAUUCCAUUUUUAUUGAGUUCUUAUUUUCUUUCUCUCUAUGUUCUGACUGUCACAUCUCAUUUUCUUGACUGUCAAAACUCUUUAUUUCCAUUAACCUGUCAAUUAGAAUAUAGCAAAUUGCUUGCCUUGGGGCUGUUUUACCUGUUUACAUGACUGUCUCUUCCAGGAUCUUUGGUAGCUCCUGUUGUGAGAGGGCUAUAGGCACGAAUACACAGAUAUGCGUGUACACAAGACCAAGAAGGAAGAGUAUAUAAAACUGUAUUUUUCUUGUUAUUCAUACAAAACUUUGUGCAUAUUUUUACUUCAUUAACAAAAAGGAAGUGUUGUCUGUGUUUCUGCCAGCAGCAGCAGAGCUUUUGACUGGAUCAGGCUUCUUUGUAUAUGUGUGGCAUAUGUGCUGUAGAACUAACACUGCAAUAGUUUUGUUGGUUCAUUGAGGUAUUGUUUCUUUAUCUUCACAAAACACUUCAGAUAUAUACAAAGGGCUCUUUUUUAUCUUUUCUUUUUUUCUUCUCCUCAGCAAUGUAAUCUGUAUUGUAGAUUAUAAGGAUCAUGCACAGUUUCUAUGGAUCUAAUCCAAGUGUAAUUGAUAGACGUAUCACUUGAUUAAGGGCUGGGCACACAUCUGAACAGCCUGAACAACCAAACAACCCCAUAUUUAGAGCAGAAAAUCUGCUAGACUACCUGCCUUUUUUGAAGUGGAAACAUGGUAGAAGACAGAGGUAAUGUCUACAGCCAUUGAAACUGCCUCUUGAACUGUUUUAUGAACAUACAAGCUAGUAAAGUUCAACUGUGAACUUGUUUAAGCUUAUUCCAAAAGUGAAGUCAUUUCUGGCAUCUAAAGCAAGUCCUUGAAGCUUUAAUAUCAUGGCUCUAUAAACUGUGUUCUUGUGCAUUACAAAUAGACUAUUAGUAAGCACCAUUUAAGACAUGAAUUUGGACUGUUUUGCUUCCACCCGUAUGUACAGUUCAGAAGGUCAGGCAUUACCGCAGUAUCUCUCCUGUUAUUUUAGGGCUCUCAUGUUAUGGUUGGCCCUGCUCACUUGGCGUUUGGUUUCAGUUAGUUUUUCCAUGGGUUUGGCUUUUUAGAAUAAAAACGUAUCAAGAAAAAUCCAGCAAGUUGCAAAGUUCACAAAGACCGAGGACUUUUAGAUGUUAGCAGUUGAAAGGAGAUAAGCAUCUCAGUUUAACUGCGACUGUUUAACCUAAAUAUAGCGAGCCUAAGUUAUGGGUGAUGGAGACAGCAAAAUUUGUUGUGGGUUGUGGAGCAGGGAGAGGCAAGAGGAAAAUAAAGGCAGUUUGUAUUGUAGUAGCUGUGGAUUGCUUUCCUACUUGUGCCAUUUUUUGCUGAGCUGCUCUAAAUUUAGAGGUAAACAUGUGAAAGAGGAGAAAUGGUGCUCUUCAUGGCAGUAUAGUUCAGUAAUUAGUUCAGUAAAUAAUACAAAGAGUGGAAGAGGGAUUUCCUUCGGGUUAAAAUGCUGACCCUUUGAUCCCCAGCUGUGGCUCAUCAUUUAAACUGGUGUUUUUCUUGUUGCUGUGGUUUUCACUGUAAGAUGUUGUUUUUAACCUCUGUGUGAAGACCUGUGCAGCAAAUGUAGGCAGCCUUUGUUUAAAGAAUGCCUGGGGGGUAAAGUGAAUUCCAAGGACUAUAUUUCAAAAUGUAUGUGGCUGUUUAAAUGAUCAAAUUCUAGUAUUAAAAGGAGUGUGUGUAUCCUAUGUUGCCUCAGGGUUUAUAGACUUGCCAUCUAAUUGAUGUGGUAAGAUUUUCCAAACUGGGAACAGCUUAAUACUUGAAAAAAAUGUUAACCCCUUUCUUAAGACUGCUUUUGAAUAUUGAAUGAAAUACAUUAAUGCCAGCGUGAAAGAGGUGCAUUUUCUGUAGCUGUGCAUUAGUAAGAGACUAGCUGCUUAUGUAUAAACACUAGAAGGCAUGGGAGGCCUGAAGGAAUGUGUAUUUAUGUCAUAAAGAAGUUUUAGAUAAAUGUCAAUCCAGAGAGUGCACAACUGUAUAAGAAACCUGUGAGUGUGGAAUCCUGAAACGUAGAGUUUAGUUGAUCUUUUUGGACUCUGCAAACAAUCUGCUGUCAACAGGAAUUUGAUGCUGGAGCCCUAACAGGACUGUGCCCAGAGGUCAGUGAGAGACCAGGAAGCCUUAAUAGAAAGCACAGAUUAAGUUGGUAGGAAGAAUCUACAUCUCCCAUUAUUUUCCACACCUGAGAGAGCAUUUAUGGCUCAUGCUGACACUGUGUGCAUUAGCUAAUUUUGACAGGUUUUGGUGUAGUCCCAUUUCUUUAAAUAUGUGUGUCAGUAUCAAGACAUGGAGCUUGGGUUUGUUUCAAAUUUCAGGUCUUUUAUGGCUCUUAUUCUAAGCCAAAUUAAAACUUGUUUCAAGACUGCACCAUUGUGGUAAUGUAGAUUCAUCAUACUCAUAGGAAUUUGUGUGUUUAAAGACUGAGAUUUACAGCACUAGUAAUCUAGCACUAGUGUCUAGUCACUGUGUGUGCAAAUCCUUGUUAUGUGGAAUACUUUGCUUGAUUUUAAACCAUUUCUGAGUAAAGGUGAACUUCUAAUGUGCACAAGUUUCUCUUCAUCUUUUGCUGACAUCCUGUAAUGUUGUAAAAUGUGCUGUUGAGCAAUUUGAAGUACAGUUGGAAUAAAGAAUGUUGUCCCAAGACAGUUUUUAUUAUAUAUGUCCAAGAAGUGUGACAAGAAACCUAGAUCAUCUCUUGGUUCUAGCUAACCGGACUUGGCUCCAGACUAUCAGAGGAAAUUACUCAGUGAAAAUCAGAGUCAUCUUGGAUAGUCCAGCAGACAACUGCUGUGCCAAUGGAGAGGUACUGCUGUAAAACCAAGUGUAGCUCUGCAUAAUGAACUGUAGCUGCUUUAUUUGAAUAAUGUUGGCUGACUCUACAGUAAUGUGAGAAUUAAAACUGAGAACAUAAGUAUUUCCUUGCAAAGGAAAGAACCAAGCCUCCAGAAAGAAACAAGAAUGUCUUUUAAAAUUAUUUUUUAUUUCUACGUAGUGUUGCCCAGUUCAACAAGGGCUUGGUUGACUAACUUGACUGAGGCCCCAUUAAAAUGGAUUUUACUCCGGGUCACGUAGAGUUUAAGAAGUUCAGGAAGAGAGCAGAAGAAAUAUUUUUGUGUGCUUUCAGCAGGCCUCUGCAGGGCCUCGGCAGUAAGGGAGCUAUUGUGUGCGAAGAGCUCGAUCCAUUGGAUACAACCCGUUAACCUGGGAGGGGAAAGGGGAGCGUUGUAGCUAAUGGCAGGAAAUCUACUAUUUAUUAUCAGUCAAAACUCAAAAGUAUGUGUAAAUCUCCAGGGAGAACAAGGAUGUAAACGUAGAUCACGUUCAUUAAGAAGUAUCUAUGCCCAGCUUCUUUCCUGCUUAACGAUAUGAAGUACUAAGACCCUCUCUCGUGUCUUCUCCCAUGUUUUUUGCAUGACUUCCAAGUAAUUUUUCCUCUUUCCUUGUGGUUCCUUUUUACUUCAAUAAAUCCCCACCAAAAAUUGUACACAAAAACGGAGAAAAGAAAUGCCACAGCCUUCAAUUUGGGGAAACAUAUCUAUAUAUACAUCUAAUUUCCUUAACCUAAAGAGCACUCUUACUUAGUGUAUAUUUGAAGCUGAUGAAGCUGUACUUCAAUGACUACCGGUCUAUGGAAUGAGAUAUGAGAAAAGAAAAAGCUACUUGAAUUCAUGGAAGUUUUUGAGUUUUAGACUUUCUUCUUGGCCAAGAACUAGCUAGGGUCAGAAUCUGACCCUUCCUCGGUGUGAUUGUAGUCCAAGUUUUUACCUAAGCCUCGGUGAGUUGGCGAGCAUCAGGACUGCAGUAAUGAGCAGUACACAGGACCAGCUCUCAUUGUGGGAUUGGGCUGGUCUUGGAAAAUCUGGGAUGUGAACAACUGGUAGAUGUUCUGAGCUCUGAUCUCCUUCAGGAUGGCGGUGGUAGAUACUGCUGUAGAGACUGUAUGUUUGAUAUUCUUGAGUACUGAGCAUUUUAAAGAUGGAUUUUGCCACAGAUACUGAAACUCUAAUGAUUCUGGUUUUGUUGUUUGUUUAAGACUGUAGCUAUUUUAAGAUUUAGUAUGAAGUGUUCCACAGACAUUGUCAUCCUUUGAUGUGUUCCAGAAGUGGGAAUUUUAACCUUACACAGGAGAGAAAAAAUUAUGGCUAAAUAUAAUUGACCAGAUGAUGAAUUGGGACUAAGCUUCUGAAGUCUUGGGAUUUGUUUAGGCCUGCUAUGGUAUUGGGUAGGAAACAGCACCACAGAGUAAGGCACCUGCCAUGCCAGGCCUUAGCAGAAUGCUCUGUGCUAGAAAUAGUGAUGGGAAUGGGGCCGUUGUUCCAUUCUUUUAUCUCUUCAUGUAUCACUGACUAAUGCCACUCAGAAAUCUUCUGAUGAAAUAAGUCCAUUUGCUGAACUGGAAUUGUUGUCAGGUAAGAUUCAACAAACUAGCUGAGUUUUGUGAUAUUCCUAUUCUGAUGUCUCUCUCUCUCUUCAUUUUUUUUUUUCUUUUCCAAAUUCAGCAUUGAAAUGCAGCUUUCGGUCAGAUAAAGGAAAUCAAAAUCUGAAGGAAAUAUUCCAAGUGUGUGGAAAGCAAAACUUCUCUCACGCCUUUCUAUUCUUCUGCAUGUGAUUAGUCUGUGGACAUUUUCCCCUCCAAAUUUUCAGCUUCUUUUGUGGUGAGGAAAAACAUUUGAAUUCUUAAAUGCUGACAGGUUAGAGAAACUGUUUCCCUCGCUGCUUCCCUUGUAACUGUGGAGUCCUUGUCUGAGGGCUGAUAGCACUGGGAAGGCAGCCAGGACAGA
Non-coding RNA from Coturnix japonica (Japanese quail), 9089 nucleotides. Lineage: Eukaryota; Metazoa; Chordata; Aves; Galliformes; Phasianidae. The record is from RefSeq and is a predicted model, not a curated record.